RNAcentral lists this non-coding RNA (30 nucleotides) under Homo sapiens (human). Lineage: Eukaryota; Metazoa; Chordata; Mammalia; Primates; Hominidae. The record is from RNAcentral.
UGGAAAUAACGCUGCCCAUGCCCAGACCAA